UGGGAUUGUCGACAUAGCAAGACGAUUAAGUGGACUCUUCACAAAUGUCUUCACCGCAAAGUGAGACAGGGGAGAGGUCAUCAGCAAAUCUCUGUACUGCCAAGUUCCGGAGAUGGAUCUCACUGACGACAAAGUCAAACGGCGGAGGAAGAAUAAAAAUCUCACCGGAAUGAAGGACCGACGGAGCGAUAAAACUUGCGGAUAAGUGUUAAAAGGAUCUCUGACCACCAGAAAAAGAAUCGCAGAGAGAAAGCGAUAGUGGUCACCUAGUUGAGAAUGUUAUGUGAGGUUACAAAAUGCUUGCAAAAAGAGAAACAAGGACCAAAGAGUGAAAUCUACUUUCAUAUUUGAGACCUCGUAAAUGGUGCUCGAAAGUUUUUUUUGUUUUUCUUAACCUUAGGUUUUACAUAUAACGGAAUAUCACGUCACUCAAAACAAAUAUUUCCCAAUAUACAGUAGUUAAAGUAAGAGUAAAUUUGUAAUUAAAAACAAGAUUUGGACAAUAUUUUAAAACAAUGUCACAUCUUUG
Molecule: small RNA, 529 nt
Filed under: Arabidopsis thaliana (thale cress)
Lineage: Eukaryota; Viridiplantae; Streptophyta; Magnoliopsida; Brassicales; Brassicaceae
Description: putative long intergenic non-coding RNA
Source: RNAcentral